RNAcentral lists this ribosomal RNA (346 nucleotides) under uncultured bacterium. Its description in RNAcentral is "partial 16S ribosomal RNA". It matches the Rfam family "Bacterial small subunit ribosomal RNA", at positions 338 to 681 of the family's 1533-position model. The record is from RNAcentral.
CCUACGGGAGGCAGCAGUGAGGAAUAUUGGUCAAUGGGCGCGAGCCUGAACCAGCCAAGUAGCGUGAAGGAUGACUGCCCUACGGGUUGUAAACUUCUUUUAUAAAGGAAUAAAGUGAGGCACGUGUGCCUUUUUGUAUGUACUUUAUGAAUAAGGAUGGGCUAACUCCGUGCAAGCAGCCGCGGUAAUACGGAGGAGCCGAGCGUUAUCCGGAUUUAUUGGGUUUACAGGGAGCGUAGAGGGGUUGUUAAGUCAGUUGUGAAAGUUUGCGGCUCAACCGUACAAUUGCAAUUGAUACUGGCAGUCUUGAGUACAGUUGCGGUCGGCGGAAUUCGUUUUGUAGCCG